This 482-nucleotide ribosomal RNA is filed under the name uncultured bacterium. Its description in RNAcentral is "partial 16S ribosomal RNA". It matches the Rfam family "Bacterial small subunit ribosomal RNA", at positions 28 to 507 of the family's 1533-position model. The record is from RNAcentral.
GACGAACGCUGGCGGCGUGCUUAACACAUGCAAGUCGAACGCUGAAGCUCAGCUUGCUGGGUGGAUGAGUGGCGAACGGGUGAGUAACACGUGAGUAACCUGCCCUCUUCUUUGGGAUAACGCCCGGAAACGGGUGCUAAUACUGGAUAUUCACUGAUUCUCGCAUGGGGGUUGGUGGAAAGGUUUUUUCUGGUGGGGGAUGGGCUCGCGGCCUAUCAGCUUGUUGGUGGGGUGAUGGCCUACCAAGGCUUUGACGGGUAGCCGGCCUGAGAGGGUGACCGGUCACAUUGGGACUGAAAUACGGGCCAGACUCCUACGGGAGGCAGCAGUGGGGAAUAUUGCACAAUGGGCGAAAGCCUGAUGCAGCGACGCCGCGUGAGAAAUGGAGGCCUUCGGGUUGUAAACCUCUUUCGCUCAUGGUCAAGCCGCAGCUUUGGGUUGUGGUGAGGGUAGUGGGUAAAGAAGCGCCGGCUAACUACGUG